Molecule: ribosomal RNA, 562 nt
Filed under: uncultured archaeon
Lineage: Archaea
Description: bacterial SSU rRNA
Rfam family: Archaeal small subunit ribosomal RNA
Source: RNAcentral
CUCAGUAACACGUGGAUAACCUGCCCUUAGGACUGGCAUAACCCCGGGAAACUGGGGAUAAUUCCGGAUAGUUCAUGGUAGCUGGAAUGCUCCAUGAUCGAAAGCUAUUGCGCCUAAGGAUGGGUCUGCGGUCUAUCAGGUAGUAGUGGGUGUAAUGUACUUACUAGCCGACGACGGAUACGGGUUGUGGGAGCAAGAGCCCGGAGGUGGAUUCUGAGACAUGAAUCCAGGCCCUACGGGGCGCAGCAGGCGCGAAAACUUUACAAUGCGGGAAACCGCGAUAAGGGGACACCGAGUGCCAGCAUCUUAUGUUGGCUGUCCGCAUGUAUAAAUCACAUGUGUUAGCAAGGGCCGGGCAAGACCGGUGCCAGCCGCCGCGGUAACACCGGCGGCCCGAGUGGUGGCCACUAUUAUUGGGUCUAAAGGGUCCGUAGCCGGUUUGGUCAGUCUUCCGGGAAAUCUGACGGCUUAACCGUUAGGCUUUCGGGGGAUACUACCAGGCUUGGGACCGGGAGAGGUAAGAGGUACUACGGGGGUAGGAGUGAAAUCUUGUAAUCCUCGU